CAGUGAUGUGAAGCGAAACUCAAAAAAGUAAGUCUCAGUUCGGAUUGAAGGCUGAAAUUCGCCUUCAUGAAGCCGGAAUUGCUAGUAAUGGCAGGUCAGCAUACUGCCGUGAAUACGUUCCCGAGCCUUGUACACACCGCCCGUCACACCAUGAGAGUUGGGAAUACCCGAAGCCUGUGAGCUAACUGUAAAGAGGCAGCAGUCGAAGGUAGAAUCAAUGAUUGGGGUGAAGUCGUAACAAGGUAAC
This 247-nucleotide ribosomal RNA is filed under the name uncultured bacterium. RNAcentral describes it as "partial 16S ribosomal RNA". It matches the Rfam family "Bacterial small subunit ribosomal RNA", at positions 1255 to 1500 of the family's 1533-position model. The record is from RNAcentral.